CCUACGGGAGGCAGCAGUGAGGAAUAUUGGUCAAUGGUCGGGAGACUGAACCAGCCAAGCCGCGUGAGGGAGGAAGGUACAGAGUAUCGUAAACCUCUUUUGUCAGGGAACAAAGACUGGGACGCGUCCCCGGAUGAGUGUACCUGAAGAAAAAGCAUCGGCUAACUCCGUGCCAGCAGCCGCGGUAAUACGGAGGAUGCGAGCGUUAUCCGGAUUUAUUGGGUUUAAAGGGUGCGCAGGCGGUCUGUUAAGUCAGCGGUCAAAGCCCGGGGCUCAACCCCGGCCCGCCGUUGAAACUGGCAGUCUCGAGUUGGAGAGAAGUAUGCGGAAUGCGCGGUGUAGCGGUGAAAGGCAUAGAUAUCGCGCAGAACUCCGAUUGCGAAGGCAGCAUGCCGGCUCCACACUGACGCUGAGGCACGAAAGCGUGGGUAUCGAACAGGAUUAGAUACCCUAGUAGUC
RNAcentral lists this ribosomal RNA (459 nucleotides) under uncultured bacterium. RNAcentral's name for it is "partial 16S ribosomal RNA". It matches the Rfam family "Bacterial small subunit ribosomal RNA", at positions 338 to 795 of the family's 1533-position model. The record is from RNAcentral.